UAUCUCUGGAACAGUCCCCAAACGUCUUGCCAAGGGCACAGGUUUUCAGCUUUAAAGGCCAUUUCAAUUUAAGAAAACAAAAGAUGAUCCUGUGAACACUGUAUCAGGCAUCAUUACUGGACUGGAAAAAGGAUCACUUGAUGGACAUGCCUGGCAUUUUGUUUAGAAGUAUUUCUUCUCUGGCCUUAGAAGAUUAGUUUUCAAAGCGAUGGUAAAAUCAUUGAUGUACGUCUUUUCAAGAAAAAGAAAAAAAAAAAAAAGACUCCUAAAUGCCAAACAUUUGCUCUUUGGAGCAUAGCAAGAAGAAAGGGAGAGGACCAGACGGCCACAUCCUAAGAACAGAGUAUUGUCCAGGUAGCUGUCGCCCCAAAUGGGAUCUCUUUCCAGGUCUUUUUGUUAAAGUUUUUCUUUCCUAAAUAAAACUUAAUUUUCUCUCGCUAA
Molecule: long non-coding RNA, 441 nt
Organism: Pongo pygmaeus (Bornean orangutan)
Lineage: Eukaryota; Metazoa; Chordata; Mammalia; Primates; Hominidae
Exons: 3
Source: RefSeq, a predicted model, not a curated record